RNAcentral lists this ribosomal RNA (839 nucleotides) under uncultured alveolate. RNAcentral's name for it is "SSU rRNA". It matches the Rfam family "Eukaryotic small subunit ribosomal RNA", at positions 47 to 913 of the family's 1831-position model. The record is from RNAcentral.
AGCCAUGCAUGUCUAAGUAUAAAUAGUAUACAGUGAAACUGCGAAUGGCUCAUUAAAACAGUUAUAGUUUAUUUGAUAAUGGAAAGCUACAUGGAUAACCGUGGUAAUUCUAGAGCUAAUACAUGCUGUUAAACCCGACUUUUUGAAGGGUUGUAUUUAUUAGAUAUUAAAGCCAAUAUUCCUUCGGGUCUAUUGUGGUGAAUCAUAGUAACUGAUCGAAUCCCUUUACGGGAUAAAUCAUUCAAGUUUCUGCCCUAUCAGCUUUCGAUGGUAGUGUAUUGGACUACCAUGGCAGUUACGGGUAACGGAGAAUUAGGGUUCGGUUCCGGAGAGGGAGCCUGAGAAACGGCUACCACAUCUAAGGAAGGCAGCAGGCGCGUAAAUUACCCAAUCCCGAUUCGGGGAGGUAGUGACAAGAAAUAACAACCUGGGGGACUUUGUCCUUACGGGAUUGCAAUGAGAACAAUUUAAACGACUUAUCGAGGAACAAUUGGAGGGCAAGUCUGGUGCCAGCAGCCGCGGUAAUUCCAGCUCCAAUAGCGUAUAUUAAAGUUGUUGCAGUUAAAAAGCUCGUAGUUGAACUUCUGUACGUGCCCGGUUCUGGCUUCGGUCAAGCUGUGGUGCGUGCAUCCGCUUGCAAACUAGGCCCGGCCUUCACUGGUCGACCUAGGGAGUAGGCCUUUUACUUUGAAAAAAUUAGAGUGUUUCAAGCAGGCAAUGGCUCGAAUACAUUAGCAUGGAAUAAUAGAAUAGGACUUUUGUCCAUUUGGUUGGUUAUUGGACAUGAGUAAUGAUUAACAGGGACAGUUGGGGGCAUUAGUAUUUAAUUGUCAGAGGUG